AUUUCUUCAACCCCUGCCGCACUUAGCAAACUGCACAACAGUGGGGCUAAACAUUUGCUGUCAGGGGCUUCAAGCAAUACUAGCAUUGACAUGUCAAGAGAAGUUGUCAUUCAAUGUUUGAUGGUGUAUCUUGGGGAUUCUAUAGAUCACCUCUUAAAAGAGUACAAUGACAAUGAUGGAGACACAGAACAUUGCUGAAGAAAGGAUAAAAAUCUACAAAAUCAAGAAUUAAAUGUCAGCAGGAUCUGACAACAUUGGUUUUCUUGGGUAAUUUUGCAAGGGUGUGUUAGUGUUAGUGUGUGUUGUGCUGGUAUGAGUGGAUCAGACACAGCAGCACCGAUGGAUGUUUUAAACACCUCACUGUCACUGCUGGACUGAGAAUCGUCCACCAACCAAAAAUAUCCAGCCAACAGCGCAGCGUGGGCAGCGUCCUGUGACCACUGAUGAAGGUCUAGAAGAUGACCAACUCAAACAGCAGCAAUCGAUGAGCGAUCGUCUCUGACUUUACAUCUACAAGGUGGACCAACUAGGUAGGAGUGUCUAAUAGAGUGGACAGUGAGUGGACACG
This is a long non-coding RNA of Trichomycterus rosablanca, 568 nucleotides long. RefSeq lists it as uncharacterized. The transcript has 3 exons. The record is from RefSeq and is a predicted model, not a curated record. NCBI's taxonomy places the organism in Eukaryota, Metazoa, Chordata, Actinopteri, Siluriformes, Trichomycteridae.